RNAcentral lists this ribosomal RNA (119 nucleotides) under Pteropus alecto (black flying fox). Lineage: Eukaryota; Metazoa; Chordata; Mammalia; Chiroptera; Pteropodidae. The record is from RNAcentral.
GUCUAUGGCCAUGCCACUCUGAACAUGCCCAAUCCCGUCUGAUCUCAGAAGGUAAGCAGGGUCAGGCCUGGUUAGUACUUGGAUGGGAGACCAUCUAGGAAGACCAGGUGCUGUAGGUG